UCUUUCACUCCGAGCGGGACCGCCUAAGGGCAUGCCUAUGGCGCACCGCCAGGGUCGGGCUGGAAACGGCACGGCCUUCCGUCUUUGAAAAGGAGUCUCU
RNAcentral lists this non-coding RNA (100 nucleotides) under uncultured Flavonifractor sp. RNAcentral describes it as "Moco (molybdenum cofactor) riboswitch". It matches the Rfam family "Molybdenum/Tungsten riboswitch aptamer (Moco RNA motif)", at positions 12 to 120 of the family's 135-position model. Lineage: Bacteria; Bacillati; Bacillota; Clostridia; Eubacteriales; Oscillospiraceae. The record is from RNAcentral.